RNAcentral lists this transfer RNA (71 nucleotides) under Ictidomys tridecemlineatus (thirteen-lined ground squirrel). RNAcentral's name for it is "Spermophilus tridecemlineatus (thirteen-lined ground squirrel) tRNA". It matches the Rfam family "tRNA". Rfam says of the family: Transfer RNA (tRNA) molecules are approximately 80 nucleotides in length. Their secondary structure includes four short double-helical elements and three loops (D, anti-codon, and T loops). Lineage: Eukaryota; Metazoa; Chordata; Mammalia; Rodentia; Sciuridae. The record is from Rfam by way of RNAcentral.
GGGGCUGUAGCUCAGUGGUAGAGCGUUUGCCUAGCAUGCAUGAGGCACUGGGUUUGAUCCUCAGCACCCCA